AUGACCGACCUAGAGAGCAUAACCCACAUGCUGCAGUGGGUGGUGCCGUUCGCCUCGCCGCCGGCGGUAGAGCAGCUGGGGCGCGCGCUGUGGGGGCUGGGCUCCCUCACCCUUGUGCUGGCCCUCACCACCGUGCUCCACCAGCCGGCCGCCGGACCUGUCUUCGCCCACUACAAGGCCGCAUACUAUACCGUCCUUGCCUUCGUCCUCUUCGUCGCCGUGCCGGUGGAGCUGGGGAUCGCCUUCUGCCUGCCCCGCUGCAGCCACGGGCGCCGGAUCCAUCAUUUUGCCAGGGUUCUCGUCCCCUGCGCUUACCUGCUGCUCCUCGUCGUCAUCUCCGUCGGGUUGCUAUUCUUGGAAGUUAGUCUUGUACCUCAAGGAAAUGAAGCCAGUGGUUACGAACUUACGAUCUCUUUGUCGCACACCCGCAGUCACAAUUUCCAGAUGAUCAGCACCGACGUCUUGCCAAAGCAGCACUCGACGUGUAAGGUCGGCUUCCCGCAGCGCGGCUUCUUCCACACGGUGGUGCAGUUCCUGUGCUCGCUCGACGUGCUCGUGAGUGAGACCGAGGCGCUCCGGCAGGGGUUCAAUGAGUACUCCAGCUGGCCCACCUGGCCGCAGCAUUGCAUUGACGGUGAGUUCUUCUGCGGGGCGACAUCACUCUCGUGUCCUCCUCUGCAGGUGUCUCACAUAAUACGAACAGCAAAAGGUGUACUCUGCUUUCUUGUUUACCGCGGCCACAAUUUCCAAGUGGUCUGCAUUGACGUCUUGCCAAAGCAGCGCUCAACGUUUCUGGUCGGCUACCCGCAGUGUGGCUUCUCCCACAUGGUGGUGCAGGUUCUGUGGUUGCUUGUUGUGCCCUUCGAAACGCUCAAUGUGCUCGCUGACGAGGCGCUCCAGCAGUGGCUCAAGGAGUACUCAAGCUGGCACACCUCCCCGCAGCUCUACAUCGAAUUCGAGUUCUUCAGAGGGUGUGACAUCACAGUUGUAGGAUUGGAGUGCACAUGGCACUCUGUACCGGUGGAAUAUAUGCUCUCUGCCUUUCCUUCUCCCAUGAUUAUGAUUACGGUUCAAAAUUUGACUCUGCUGUAG
Molecule: ribosomal RNA, 1092 nt
Filed under: Triticum aestivum (bread wheat)
Lineage: Eukaryota; Viridiplantae; Streptophyta; Magnoliopsida; Poales; Poaceae
Description: partial small subunit ribosomal RNA
Source: RNAcentral